This 1016-nucleotide long non-coding RNA is filed under the name Nicotiana benthamiana. Its description in RNAcentral is "long non-coding RNA (NBEN_LNC035594)". Lineage: Eukaryota; Viridiplantae; Streptophyta; Magnoliopsida; Solanales; Solanaceae. The record is from RNAcentral.
CAAGUUUCUUACAAUAACAACAACAACAACAUACAAUAUAAUCUCAUAAGUAAUGUCUAGGGAAAAUAGUACGUAAAUAAACUUUAUCCGUAUAAAGUUUCUUAUGAUAAAAAAUUUGAUAAAGCGUCCUAUUUGGUCACAUAUACCCUUUUUUUUCUGUAAAAGUUUAACUGGUACCAUAUUAGGUAAAUCUAGAUAUUGCUUUCUUCUCACUUGCUUCUUCGCUACUGCUGUUGCUUCUUCUCUGCCUGCUGCUCCUUCUAAGGUUCUUCGUUGCUGCUUCUUCUAUCCUCCUCCUCCUCCUCCUUAAACCUGAGAUUUAAACUUUGAGUUGGUACUUAUAAACUGCAGUGAAGAAAUUCAAAGCCACCUCCUCCUCCUCCUUAAAACUGAGAUUUAUACUUUGAGUUGGUACUUAUAAACUGCAGUGGAGAAAUUCAAAGCCACCAUUAUUGAACCUAGAGAAAGUUUGAUCGAUGGUGACCUCGCUGAAAUCAACAAAAUAAAAAAUUUGAGAGAUAGAAGAACUUCAGAUUCGAUUCUAAAGUUGUACUGAAGAGAUAGAAGAACUUCAUAUCUCGAUAAUGAAGUUCUAUUAAAGAGAUAGAAUUUCAGAUUCGAAGUUGCAUUCUAGAAGAAUUUCAAAUCUGGUUUCGAAACCCAAAAUUUGUAGUUUCAGAUGUGAAUACAAAGUGUUAAAUGCGAAAUUUAAAGUGCGCUACAAAGUGGAAUUUUUUUAUAAAUUUUUGUAUAAUACGGAUGUAUCUACACUUUCCCCUUUCUUAUGAGUUAAACGUAUAUCUUUGUAGAAGAAUUAACCUAAAUAACGGUAUAUGUAUAAGUCAUAUAUAAUAUGUGUAUAAUCAAUAUGUAAUCUAUGUAUACUGGUAAAAAGCUAAACAAUGAAGUCCAACCGGCUAUUUGCGAAAGAAGUCACAUAUUCAACCCAAAUUAGUCCAACUUUUAAAUGGGCUAACUUAGAUUGUUCCCAGAUUGACGCACCAUGAAAAUAUGCC